Molecule: ribosomal RNA, 474 nt
Filed under: uncultured bacterium
Lineage: Bacteria
Description: bacterial SSU rRNA
Rfam family: Bacterial small subunit ribosomal RNA
Source: RNAcentral
CAGAACGAACGCUGGCGGCAUGCCGUAAUACAUGCAAGUCGAACGGAGAUAGCAAUAUCUUAGUGGCGAACGGGUGCGUAACACGUGAGCAACCUGCCUUAUACAUCGGAAUAACAGCUGGAAACGGCUGCUAAUACCGGAUAAGACCACACCAAGGCAUCUUGGAGAGGUCAAAGCGAAUUAGCGGUAUAAGAUGGGCUCGCGUCCAAUUAGCUAGUUGGUGGGGUAACGGCCCACCAAGGCAACGAUUGGUAGCCGACUUGAGAGAGUGAUCGGCCACACUGGAACUGAGACACGGUCCAGACUCCUACGGGAGGCAGCAGUAGGGAAUAUUGGGCAAUGGAGGAAACUCCUUACCCAGCAAUGCCGCGUGAAUGAUGAAGGUCUUAUGGAUUGUAAAGUUCUUUAAUUGGGGACGAAAGAAAUGACGGUACCCAAAGAAUAAGCCCCGGCUAACUAUGUGCCAGCAGCCGC